CAGAAACUAAGAGGGUUUAACUCUUAUUUAAGGCUUUGAAGGCCUUCGGUUUGGGGUGUUAUCCUAAGUUUCU
Molecule: transfer RNA, 73 nt
Filed under: Anser fabalis (Taiga bean goose)
Lineage: Eukaryota; Metazoa; Chordata; Aves; Anseriformes; Anatidae
Description: tRNA-Trp
Source: RNAcentral